Molecule: long non-coding RNA, 733 nt
Organism: Cavia porcellus (domestic guinea pig)
Lineage: Eukaryota; Metazoa; Chordata; Mammalia; Rodentia; Caviidae
Exons: 3
Source: RefSeq, a predicted model, not a curated record
AGACGAAUGAAGCAUUGUGGGUUUCUCUAAGUGUUGCUGUUUGAGCCAUUGGUUCUCCUGGAGGAGUUCAUCAUGCCCAGCUUCCCCAGUGUGAGUUCAACCAUUGUCAUCGGAGGAGCUGGGGACCUUGUUGCGUCAGCGGGGAGGAUGUAACGGCUCUGCUCAAAGGAGCAUUGUUCCCGAGGAGUCACUCACUACCGUGUCGGGGGACCUUGUGGGGACCCAGAGGUGAGACGGACGCCAGGUGUCUUGCGCUCCACUUCGAGAGAACUCAUCCCAAUGACCAGCGAACUGUGGUGGUGGUGGAAAUGGACCUGGUGGGCAACCCCACGUCUCUUGACCUCCACCAGCCUCUCCUGCUUGCUGUGUAGGUGUGAGAGUGUCGCACGGACUCUGGACUCUGCCCAGUGCAGUCCCCCAGGGAAUCAGUCCCCGGCGAUAGUGUCCCCUCUGGGACUCCCCCACCAUCCAUGCAAGCUCCUGCUGCUGCUGAGCAGCCUCCCUCAGUGUCCCCAGAUGUCCGACACUCAGUGUGUCCAAACUGACCUGGUCACCGUGCCACCCUCUCCGUUGCUUCCAUUCCAGUACAGACAUCUCCCAGAUCCACCCUCGCCUGCCAGUUCCACUACAUGCUCUUCAUCUGGGCCCUCACAUCACUGGCCUCAGCUUUUGCAUUUUAACUGUCCACAUUUUGAAAUAAAAUCCAUCUUUAAAACUACCCAAGUAUAUUCUC